UAAAAGAUAAGCUAAAUUAAGCUACUGGGUUCAUACCCCAUUUAUAAAGGUUUACCCCUUUUCUUUUAA
RNAcentral lists this transfer RNA (69 nucleotides) under Lutzomyia trinidadensis. RNAcentral describes it as "tRNA-Met". The record is from RNAcentral. Lineage: Eukaryota; Metazoa; Arthropoda; Insecta; Diptera; Psychodidae.